This 466-nucleotide ribosomal RNA is filed under the name uncultured bacterium. Its description in RNAcentral is "partial 16S ribosomal RNA". It matches the Rfam family "Bacterial small subunit ribosomal RNA", at positions 28 to 507 of the family's 1533-position model. The record is from RNAcentral.
GACGAACGCUGGCGGCGUGCUUAACACAUGCCAGUCGAACGGUAAGGCUACAGCUUGCUGGGGUACACGAGUGGCGAACGGGUGAGUAACACGUGGGUGACCUGCCCUGCACUUCGGGAUAAGCCUGGGAAACUGGGUCUAAUACCGGAUAGGACCAUGGUGUGGAUACUGUGGUGGAAAGUUUUUUCGGUGUGGGAUGGGCCCGCGGCCUAUCAGCUUGUUGGUGGGGUAAUGGCCUACCAAGGCGGCGACGGGUAGCCGGCCUGAGAGGGUGGACGGCCACAUUGGGACUGAGACACGGCCCAGACUCCUACGGGAGGCAGCAGUGGGGAAUAUUGCACAAUGGGCGGAAGCCUGAUGCAGCGACGCCGCGUGGGGGAUGACGGCCUUCGGGUUGUAAACUCCUUUCACCAUCGACGAAGGGUUUCUGACGGUAGAUGGAGAAGAAGCACCGGCUAACUACGUG